RNAcentral lists this ribosomal RNA (388 nucleotides) under uncultured bacterium. RNAcentral describes it as "bacterial SSU rRNA". It matches the Rfam family "Bacterial small subunit ribosomal RNA", at positions 28 to 417 of the family's 1533-position model. The record is from RNAcentral.
GACGAACGCUGGCGGCGUGCUUAACACAUGCAAGUCGAGCGGUAAGGCCCUUUCGGGGGUACACGAGCGGCGAACGGGUGAGUAACACGUGGGUGACCUGCCCUCAGCUCUGGGAUAAGCCCGGGAAACUGGGUCUAAUACUGGAUAUGACUCCAUGACGCAUGUUGUGGGGUGGAAAGCCUUGUGCGGCUGAGGAUGGGCCCGCGGCCUAUCAGCUUGUUGGUGGGGNGAUGGCCUACCAAGGCGACGACGGGUAGCCGGCCUGAGAGGGCGACCGGCCACACUGGGACUGAGACACGGCCCAGACUCCUACGGGAGGCAGCAGUGGGGAAUCUUGCGCAACGGGCGAAAGCCUGACGCAGCGACGCCGCGUGAGGGAUGACGGCCU